AUGAAUUUAAUUAUCAUUUGUUUGGACUUCAUUUGUUACAGAGUAGAGACAGUUUAUUACAGAUGUUCGCAUUUCGGGUUAUUUAUUCUCUUCUGUCUCCUCUGCGCCCCCACCCCCAACCAGUUACUUUUCAAGAUUCAUCAAAGGCUUCGAGGUUCUUCCAUCAACCCACCAGGCCUCAAUUUUUCCUCAAUGCGGCUUUUUGAUGAGAAUGGCCAAGAAAUUAAGAAUCCACUUUUGCUGAAGAAUGAGCAAAAAAUUUGGGUCUCUUAUGGUAGAGCAUACAGAUCUCCACUAAACCUUGCUUUGGGUUUGACCUUUGACCGAGUGAGUGCAUUUGCCAGAGGUGACAUCAUGGUUGCAUAUAAGACCUUUUUGGAUCCUAAUGCUGUUCUGCUACCUGGAUGUGGCAAGUAAAUUAACAAGUAAUCUUGUUAAAGAUCUGGUUAAAGUAAUCCAAAUCACUUAAUUCAGGAUUUUUCAGAGUAAGAGAUUCGAAACACUAAAAGAUGCUUUUUCAGUUAUCUUAAACAAGAAUUGUUUCUUUUAUUGAUUUAUUUAAUGGUAUAAUGAGGUAGUGCCUAAAAGACUUGUUAACUUUCCCUAGUUUUAGAAAACCAUAUGGGGCCAUGAGCAAAGCAUAGUUUCUGCUUUGCAGAAACAGCAGUUUUGUUUGAAACGUAAAAGCUGUUUUUAGUGAUUAUUUCUAAAUUAAUCAUUUUAAAUGGAAUCAUUAAAAUAUAAAGUAUGUUCUGUGUAUGAGUGUUCACAUUUAAACUUCUUAUCUGAUGAUGGUACAUUUAAAACAAAAGCAACGUUCUGGGGACUUGUUGGGGCAGUGAAGAGUAGGAGUUAGAAGAUCUAAGGAGGCACUUUGCUUCAUCUCUGCUCAUGAUUGUCCAGGAGCUGGUUUCUUUUUUUUCUUUUUUUUUUUUUUUUUGCGGGGUGGGGAUGGAGUCUCGCUCUGUCGCCCAGACUGGAGUGCAGUGGCAUGCUCUCGGCUCACUGCAAGCUCAGCGUCCCGGGUUCACGCCAUUCUCCUGCCUCAGCCUCCCAAGUAGCUGGGACUACAGGCGCCCGCCACCACGCCCGGCUAAUUUUUUGUAUUUUUUUAGUAGAGAUGGGGUUUCACUGUGUUAGCCAGGAUGGUCUCGAUCUCCUGACCUCGUGAUCCACCCGCCUCUGCCUCCCAAAGUGCUGGGAUUCCAGGCGUGAGCCACCACGCCCGGCCUGGUGUUGGUUUCUUAUCUGCGAAUAAUACAAACUGGCUUUUACUGAGUGUUGACCGUAGGCCAGGCACAGUUACAAAUUAAUUGGGUAAGGACUGAUUUAAUUCUCAUAAUUAUCUUACUCCUAUUAUUCCGUAUUACUCUACUCUUACUCCAUUUCUCAGAGACAGAAACCAAGGCACAAAGAGAGAAGUAAUUUGUCCAAAGUCACACAGCUGGUACAUGGUAGAGUCAGGAUUCUAACCCAGAUCAUUUGUCUUAAGUACCUGAGUGCUUAGCCACUAUUUGGUGCCAUCCGAUAAAACUUUCUGUGAUGACGGACACACACUUUGUGACUACUGAGCAUUUGAAAUGUGACUAGUGUGAAUGCAAAACUGCAUUUUAAAUUUUGUUCAAGUAAAUUAAUUUAAAUUUAAAUAGGAAUAGGUAGCUAGUGACUACCAUAUUGGACACCGCAGCAGAUCCUGAUACUAUUUUGGAUUAAGUAAUCUAUCUAUAAGGUCCCAUCUAGCUUUAACAAUCUUAUAAUUUAACAAAUUAUAGCUCUUUUUAAUAAACAGUUGAAAAUGCUGAAGUAGAAGGCAUAUACAGAGAACCAAAAGCAGUCUGAUGAGAUCACUGAGUCCAGCCAGUGACAACCUAUUGCUAAAUAUGUCUAGAGGGACAUACUCAUUGGUAGUUGUUUAAGUAACAGCUUUCUUCCCCAAUGACUGCUGGUGCUUUCCAGGCAAGAUUUGAGGUAUAAAUUAUUAGUAAUAGUGUAUACGUAAAGAGAAAAGAGUAUAAAGA
Long non-coding RNA from Macaca mulatta (Rhesus monkey), 2018 nucleotides. Lineage: Eukaryota; Metazoa; Chordata; Mammalia; Primates; Cercopithecidae. The record is from Ensembl.